RNAcentral lists this ribosomal RNA (370 nucleotides) under uncultured organism. RNAcentral describes it as "bacterial SSU rRNA". It matches the Rfam family "Bacterial small subunit ribosomal RNA", at positions 526 to 896 of the family's 1533-position model. The record is from RNAcentral.
CGUAGGGUGCGAGCGUUAAUCGGAAUUACUGGGCGUAAAGCGUGCGCGGGCGGUUUUGUAAGACAGAUGUGAAAUCCCCGGGCUCAACCUGGGACCUGCAUUUGUGACUGCAAGGCUAGAGUACGGUAGAGGGGGAUGGAAUUCCGCGUGUAGCAGUGAAAUGCGUAGAUAUGCGGAGGAACACCGAUGGCGAAGGCAAUCCCCUGGACCUGUACUGACGCUCAUGCACGAAAGCGUGGGGAGCAAACAGGAUUAGAUACCCUGGUAGUCCACGCCCUAAACGAUGUCAACUGGUUGUUGGGUCUUUACUGACUCAGUAACGAAGCUAACGCGUGAAGUUAUCCGCCUGGGGAGUACGGUCGCAAGAUUA